AAGUCGUAACAAGGUCUCCGUUGGUGAACCAGCGGAGGGAUCAUUAGAGAGUUGACCCCGACUCCCAAACCCCUGUGAACAUACCGUACGUUGCCUCGGCGGGGGGGCGCUCCCCCCCGCCGGCGGCCCACGAAACUCUGUUUUGCCCUGCAUCUCUGAAACGAUAAAACUAAAUCAGUUAAAACUUUCAACAACGGAUCUCUUGGUUCUG
This 211-nucleotide unclassified non-coding RNA is filed under the name Coniolariella sp. Its description in RNAcentral is "partial internal transcribed spacer region". The stretch from base 1 to 46 matches the Rfam family "Eukaryotic small subunit ribosomal RNA", at positions 1786 to 1831 of the family's 1831-position model. Lineage: Eukaryota; Fungi; Ascomycota; Sordariomycetes; Xylariales; Xylariaceae. The record is from RNAcentral.